Molecule: small nuclear RNA, 151 nt
Organism: Gopherus evgoodei (Goodes thornscrub tortoise)
Lineage: Eukaryota; Metazoa; Chordata; Testudines; Testudinidae
Gene: U4
Rfam family: U4 spliceosomal RNA
About the family: U4 small nuclear RNA (U4 snRNA) is a component of the major U2-dependent spliceosome. The structure of U4 snRNA from yeast and human has been reported.
Source: Ensembl
UUCAAUGUUUACUGGCAGUAUCGUAGCUCAUAAGGUUAAUCCAAGGCACGAUUAUUGCUAGUUGAAAACUUAACUUAACAAUAACAUUCAGCAUCAAAUCUCUUAAAGGGAUCUUGUUAUACCAUGUCUUUUAUUUAGGCAAUUUCUUUUG